CGGACGGGUGAGGAAUACAUCGGAAUCUACUCUGUCGUGGGGGAUAACGUAGGGAAACUUACGCUAAUACCGCAUACGACCUACGGGUGAAAGCAGGGGAUCUUCGGACCUUGCGCGAUUGAAUGAGCCGAUGUCGGAUUAGCUAGUUGGCGGGGUAAUGGCUCACCAAGGCGACGAUCCGUAACUGGUCUGAGAGGAUGAUCAGUCACACUGGAACUGAGACACGGUCCAGACUCCUACGGGAGGCAGCAGAA
Molecule: ribosomal RNA, 254 nt
Filed under: uncultured Stenotrophomonas sp.
Lineage: Bacteria; Pseudomonadati; Pseudomonadota; Gammaproteobacteria; Lysobacterales; Lysobacteraceae
Description: partial 16S ribosomal RNA
Rfam family: Bacterial small subunit ribosomal RNA
Source: RNAcentral